This 322-nucleotide ribosomal RNA is filed under the name uncultured eukaryote. RNAcentral describes it as "partial 18S ribosomal RNA". It matches the Rfam family "Eukaryotic small subunit ribosomal RNA", at positions 1470 to 1796 of the family's 1831-position model. The record is from RNAcentral.
CCCUUAGAUGUCCUGGGCCGCACGCGCGCUACACUGACAUGUUCAACAAGUUUCUCCUAGUUCGACAGGACUGGGAAAUCUUUGAACGCAUGUCGUGAUAGGGAUAGAUCAUUGCAAUUAUUGAUCUUGAACGAGGAAUUCCUAGUAAACGCGAGUCAUCAGCUCGCAUUGAUUACGUCCCUGCCCUUUGUACACACCGCCCGUCGCACCUACCGAUUGAAUGUUUCGGUGAAGAUUCCGGAUAGGACUGAUUUGAUUUAUUUCAUUUCUGACCUAAACGCUAUCUAAACCUCAACAUUUAGAGGAAGGUGAAGUCGUAACA